GACGAACGCUGGCGGCGUGCCUAAUACAUGCAAGUUGAGCGCUGAAGGUUGGUCCUUGUACCAACUGGAUGAGCAGCGAACGGGUGAGUAACGCGUGGGGAAUCUGCCUUUGAGCGGGGGACAACAUUUGGAAACGAAUGCUAAUACCGCAUAAAAACUUUAAACACAAGUUUUAAGUUUGAAAGAUGCAAUUGCAUCACUCAAAGAUGAUCCCGCGUUGUAUUAGCUAGUUGGUGAGGUAAAGGCUCACCAAGGCGAUGAUACAUAGCCGACCUGAGAGGGUGAUCGGCCACAUUGGGACUGAGACACGGCCCAAACUCCUACGGGAGGCAGCAGUAGGGAAUCUUCGGCAAUAGACGAAAGUCUGACCGAGCAACGCCGCGUGAGUGAAGAAGGGUUUCGGAUCGUAAAACUCUGUUGGUAGAGAAGAACGUUGGUGAGAGUGGAAAGCUCAUCAAGUGACGGUAACUACCCAGAAAGGGACGGCUAACUACGUG
Molecule: ribosomal RNA, 497 nt
Filed under: uncultured bacterium
Lineage: Bacteria
Description: partial 16S ribosomal RNA
Rfam family: Bacterial small subunit ribosomal RNA
Source: RNAcentral